This is a non-coding RNA of Triticum aestivum (bread wheat), 111 nucleotides long. The record is from Rfam. Lineage: Eukaryota; Viridiplantae; Streptophyta; Magnoliopsida; Poales; Poaceae.
UUUAUACUCUCCCUCCGUUCGGAAUUACUUGUCUCAGAAAUGGAUGUAUCUAAACGUUAAUUAGAUACAUCCAUUUCUGAGACAAGUAAUUCCGAACGGAGGGGGUAUGUG